This 497-nucleotide ribosomal RNA is filed under the name uncultured bacterium. Its description in RNAcentral is "partial 16S ribosomal RNA". It matches the Rfam family "Bacterial small subunit ribosomal RNA", at positions 28 to 507 of the family's 1533-position model. The record is from RNAcentral.
GAUGAACGCUGGCGGCGUGCCUAAUACAUGCAAGUCGAGCGAACGGACGAGAAGCUUGCUUCUCUGAUGUUAGCGGCGGACGGGUGAGUAACACGUGGAUAACCUACCUAUAAGACUGGGAUAACUUCGGGAAACCGGAGCUAAUACCGGAUAAUAUUUUGAACCUCAUGGUUCAAAAGUGAAAGACGGUCUUGCUGUCACUUAUAGAUGGAUCCGCGCUGCAUUAGCUAGUUGGUAAGGUAACGGCUUACCAAGGCAACGAUGCAUAGCCGACCUGAGAGGGUGAUCGGCCACACUGGAACUGAGACACGGUCCAGACUCCUACGGGAGGCAGCAGUAGGGAAUCUUCCGCAAUGGGCGAAAGCCUGACGGAGCAGCGCCGCGUGAGUGAUGAAGGUCUUCGGAUCGUAAAACUCUGUUAUUAGGGAAGAACAUAUGUGUAAGUAACUGUGCACAUCUUGACGGUACCUAAUCAGAAAGCCACGGCUAACUACGUG